AGUGAACGCUGGCGGUAGGCCUAACACAUGCAAGUCGAACGGCAGCACAGGAGAGCUUGCUCUCUGGGUGGCGAGUGGCGGACGGGUGAGGAAUACAUCGGAAUCUGCCCAGUCGUGGGGGAUAACGUAGGGAAACUUACGCUAAUACCGCAUACGACCUUCGGGUGAAAGAGGGGGAUCGCAAGACCUCUCGCGAUUGGAUGAGCCGAUGUCGGAUUAGCUAGUUGGCGGGGUAAUGGCCCACCAAGGCGACGAUCCGUAGCUGGUCUGAGAGGAUGAUCAGCCACACUGGAACUGAGACACGGUCCAGACUCCUACGGGAGGCAGCAGUGGGGAAUAUUGGACAAUGGGCGCAAGCCUGAUACAGCCAUACCGCGUGGGUGAAGAAGGCCUUCGGGUUGUAAAGCCCUUUUGUUGGGAAAGAAAUCUUUCAGGCUAAUACCCUGGGAGGAUGACGGUACCCAAAGAAUAAGCACCGGCUAACUUCGUG
RNAcentral lists this ribosomal RNA (490 nucleotides) under uncultured bacterium. RNAcentral describes it as "partial 16S ribosomal RNA". It matches the Rfam family "Bacterial small subunit ribosomal RNA", at positions 29 to 507 of the family's 1533-position model. The record is from RNAcentral.